Molecule: ribosomal RNA, 508 nt
Filed under: uncultured bacterium
Lineage: Bacteria
Description: partial 16S ribosomal RNA
Rfam family: Bacterial small subunit ribosomal RNA
Source: RNAcentral
GACGAACGCUGGCGGCGUGCUUAGCACAUGCAAGUCGAACGGGCCUUGUCCCCUUUUUUUUUGGGGGUGGGGUUAGUGGCGAACGGGUGAGUAACACGUGAGUAACCUGCCCCUCACUUCUGGAUAACCGCCUGGAAGGGUGGCUAAUACGGGGUGUUCUGGCCUGCUCGCAUGGGUGGGUUUGGAAAGAUUCGACCGGUUUUGGUUGUUUUGGUGGGGGAUGGGCUCGCGGCCUAUCAGCUUGUUGGUGGGGUGAUGGCCUGCCAAGGCUUGGACGGGUGGCCGGCCUGAGAGGGUGGGCGGUCACACUGGGACUGAGACACGGCCCAGACUCCUACGGGAGGCAGCAGUGGGGAAUAUUGCACAAUGGGCGCAAGCCUGAUGCAGCGACGCCGCGUGAGGGAUGGAGGCCGUCGGGUUGGGAACCUCUUUCGCCAGUGAAGAAGGUCCUGCUCUUUGUGGUGGGGUUGACGGUAGCUGGGUUAAUGAAGCGCCGGCUAACUACGUG